GAUGAACGCUGGCGGCGUGCCUAAUACAUGCAAGUCGAGCGAACAGACGAGGAGCUUGCUCCUCUGAAGUUAGCGGCGGACGGGUGAGUAACACGUGGAUAACCCACCUAUCAGACUGGGCUAACUUCGGGAAACCGGAGCUAAUACCGGAUAAUAUAUUGAACCGCAUGGUUCAAUAGUGAAAGACGGUUUUGCUUUCACUUAUAGAUGGAUCCGCGCCGCAUUAGCUAGUUGGUAAGUUAACGGCUUACCAAGGCAACGAUGCGUAGCCGACCUGAGAGGGUGAUCGGCCACACUGGAACUGAGACACGGUCCAGACUCCUACGGGAGGCAGCAGUAGGGAAUCUUCCGCGAUGGGCGAAAGCCUGAUGGAGGAACGCCGCGUGAGUGAUGAAGGUCUUCGGAUCGUAAAACUCUGUUAUUAGGGAAGAACAAAUGUGUAAGUAACUAUGCCCGUCUUGACGGUACCUAAUCAGAAAGCCACGGCUAACUACGUG
This 497-nucleotide ribosomal RNA is filed under the name uncultured bacterium. RNAcentral's name for it is "partial 16S ribosomal RNA". It matches the Rfam family "Bacterial small subunit ribosomal RNA", at positions 28 to 507 of the family's 1533-position model. The record is from RNAcentral.